RNAcentral lists this ribosomal RNA (253 nucleotides) under uncultured bacterium. Its description in RNAcentral is "partial 16S ribosomal RNA". It matches the Rfam family "Bacterial small subunit ribosomal RNA", at positions 524 to 776 of the family's 1533-position model. The record is from RNAcentral.
UACGGAGGGUGCGAGCGUUGUCCGGAAUCACUGGGCGUAAAGGGCGCGUAGGUGGCGCGGCAAGUCAACGGUGAAAGCUCGACGCUCAACGUCGAGUCGGCCGUCGAUACUGCUGGGCUCGAGCACUGUAGAGGCAGAUGGAAUUCCGGGUGUAGCGGUGGAAUGCGUAGAGAUCCGGAAGAACACCGGUGGCGAAGGCGGUCUGCUGGGCAGUAGCUGACACUGAGGCGCGACAGCGUGGGGAGCAAACAGG